Molecule: RNA transcript, 5797 nt
Organism: Jaculus jaculus (lesser Egyptian jerboa)
Lineage: Eukaryota; Metazoa; Chordata; Mammalia; Rodentia; Dipodidae
Gene: Mfhas1
Gene name: multifunctional ROCO family signaling regulator 1
Exons: 4
Source: RefSeq, a predicted model, not a curated record
AUGGCUGGCAUGGACAGUGGCAACCUGAAGACGGUGAGGCUGUGGCGGGACGCCGCCCUGCGCGCCAGGAAGCUGCGGAGCAACCUGCGCCAGCUCACCCUCAGCUGCUCGGGGGCCGGAGCCGAGCCGCUGGAGUCUCCGGACACCCCUCAGCUCGUGCUGCCCGCCAACAUCGGGGACAUUGAGGUGCUGAACCUGGGGAACAACGGUCUGGAGGAGGUGCCCGAAGGGCUGGGCUCGGCUCUGGGCAGCCUGCGCGUCUUGGUCCUGCGCAGGAACCGCUUUGCUCGGCUGCCUCCCCCCGUGGCCGAGCUCGGCCACCACCUCACCGAGCUGGAUGUGAGCCACAACCGGCUGGCUGUCUUGGGCGCCGAGGUGGUGAGCGCCCUGAGGGAGCUGCGCAAACUCAACGUGAGCCACAACCAGCUGCCCGCGCUGCCCGCCCAGCUGGGCGCCCUCGCCCACCUGGAGGAGCUGGAUGUCAGCUUCAACCGGCUGGCGCACCUGCCCGACUCCCUCUCCUGCCUGUACCGCCUGCGAACCCUGGACGUGGACCACAACCAGCUCACGGCCUUCCCCAGGCAGCUGCUGCAGCUGGCGGCCCUGGAGGAGCUGGACGUGUCCAGCAACCGGAUGCGAGGCCUACCUGAGGAUAUCAGUGCCCUGCGUGCCCUCAAGAUCCUGUGGCUGAGCGGGGCCGAGCUUGGCACCCUGCCCGACGGCUUCUGCGAGCUGGCUAGUUUGGAGAGCCUCAUGCUAGACAAUAACGGGCUGCAGGCUUUGCCCGCCCAUUUCAGCCGCCUGCAAAGGCUCAAGAUGCUCAACCUCUCUUCCAACCUUUUUGAGGAGUUUCCUGCCGCGUUGCUGCCCCUGGCUGGUCUGGAGGAGCUCUAUCUUAGUCGAAACCAGCUCACCUCAGUGCCAUCCCUUAUCUCAGGGCUGGGCCGGCUUCUCACCCUGUGGCUAGAUAAUAACCGCAUCCGCUACCUGCCCGACUCCAUUGUGGAGCUGACGGGCCUGGAGGAGCUGGUACUGCAAGGCAACCAGAUAGCCGUGCUGCCUGACAACUUUGGCCAGCUCUCUCGGGUGGGCCUGUGGAAGAUCAAGGACAACCCACUGAUCCAGCCACCCUACGAAGUCUGCAUGAAGGGGAUCCCCUACAUCGCAGCCUACCAGAAGGAGCUGGCUCAUUCCCAGCCCGCUGUGCAGCCCCGCCUCAAGCUGCUCCUGAUGGGUCACAAGGCUGCAGGAAAGACCCUGCUCCGCCACUGCCUCACUGAGGAGAGAGUGGAAGAAGGGCAAGCAGUAGGGGACAUGGAGAAGAGCUACCCACCUUCUCCUUCUUCUGGGAGCAAGGGCAUCGAGGUGACCAGCUGGACCGCGGAUGCUUCCCGGGGUCUGCGGUUCAUUGUGUAUGACCUAGCUGGUGAUGAGAGCUAUGAGGUGAUCCAGCCCUUCUUCCUCUCCCCCGGGGCCUUGUAUGUGCUCGUGGUUAAUUUGGCCACCUAUGAACCACGGCGCUUUCCCACCACGGUGGGCUCCUUCUUGCAUCGAGUCGGGGCGCGGGUCCCUCAUGCUGUGGUGUGCAUUGUGGGCACACACGCAGACCUGUGUGGGGAGCGGGAGCUAGAGGAGAAGUGUCUGGAUAUCCACCGCCAGAUCGCCCUGCAGGAGAAGCACGAUGCAGAGGGCCUGAGCCGGCUAGCCCAGGUAGUGGACGAAGCCCUGGCACGGGACUUUGAGCUGCGCUCUGCCAGCCCCCAUGCAGCCUAUUACGGUGUUUCAGACAAAAACCUUCGGAGGCGCAAGGCCCACUUUCAAUACCUGCUCAACCACAGGCUGCAAAUCCUCUCCCCAGUGUUGCCUGUUAGCUGCAGGGAUCCCCGCCAAUUGCAACGCCUUCGGGACAAGCUGCUCUCUGUAGCUGAGCACCGAGAAAUCUUCCCCAACCUACACAGAGUCCUUCCUCGAUCCUGGCAGGUGCUGGAGGAACUGCAUUUCCAGCCACCUCAGGCACAACGACUUUGGCUAAGCUGGUGGGACUCUGCACGCCUGGGCCUGCAGGCGGGUCUGACCGAGGACCGACUGCAGAGUGCCCUUUCCUACCUGCACGAGAGCGGCAAGCUGCUCUACUUUGAGGACAGCCCGGCCCUCAAGGAGCACGUCUUCCACAACCUCACCCGCCUCAUUGACAUCCUCAAUGUCUUUUUCCAGAGGGAUGCUUCUUUGCUGCUUCAUAAACUGCUCCUGGGGACCAGUGGAGAGGGCGAGGGGGAGGGGGAAAGCUUUCCUGCUUUGGUGGUGCCCACCCCAGGCCAGGACCUGCUCCGGGCCACCCAGCUCCAUCAUUAUGUGGAGGGUUUUCUGCUGCAUGGGCUCCUGCCAGCCCAUGUCAUUCGGUUGCUGCUUAAGCCUCAUGUCCAGGCCCAGCAGGACUUGCAGCUGCUGCUGGAGCUGCUGGAGAAGAUGGGACUCUGUUACUGCCUCAAUAAACCUAAGGGCAAGCCUUUGAAUGGGUCCACUGCUUGGUACAAGUUCCCAUGCUAUGUGCAGAAUGAGGUGCCACAUGCAGAGGCCUGGAUUAAUGGGACUAAUCUAGCUGGACAGUCUUUUGUGGCCGAGCAGUUGCAGAUCGAAUAUAGUUUCCCUUUUACCUUUCCACCUGGGUUGUUUGCACGCUACAGUGUCCAGAUCAAUAGCCACGUGGUCCACAGGUCAGAUGGUAAAUUUCAGAUCUUUGCAUAUAGAGGGAAAGUUCCUGUGGUGGUGAGUUACAGACCUGCCAAGGGGAUCCUGCAUCCAGACACCCUGUCCAUUGCCAGCCAUGCGUCGUUACCAAAUAUAUGGACCGCAUGGCAAGCCAUCACUCCCUUGGUAGAAGAACUGAAUGUCCUACUUCAAGAAUGGCCUGGACUGCACUACACCGUGCACAUCCUCUGUUCUAAGUGCCUUAAGAGAGGGUCGCCCAAUCCACAUGCUUUCCCAGGGGAGUUGCUGAGCCAGCCCAGGCCCGAAGGAGUGGCAGAGAUCAUCUGCCCCAAAAAUGGCAGCGAGCGAGUGAAUGUGGCCUUGGUUUACCCACCUACACCAACUGUGAUCAGUCCUUGUUCCAAGUAUCUUCAUACUUUCUUGGAACAUUAAGUGGAAAAGAUAGUGCUUCUUUCCCUUAUGCCAUCAUUUUUACUGUACCAAAUCUGUGACUUUAGGAGCACCAAAUUUUAAGGGAAGAACGUUGGUGAAAAGCACAGAAACCAGUGACUGUUGUGGCGGUGGAAUUUCCAGAAAGAAAACAGCAUGGGAACUCAACCGGGUCACCUUCUGUACCUGGCGAGCCUCCACGUCCUCCAGCUCCUUCUGGGAGCCAGAGUAGUGCGCAUUCGGGGCGCGUCGAACCCAUGGAGAACUGUGGAGGGCCUGCGGCGAUGCACGAGAACAUGGAGCAAACGUUUCACAACCUGAACCUCAGAACUGUGAUCCUCCAAGGAGAGCGCUACUUGAAGAAAAGAAAAAAUAAGUUGAAUGGCUUCUCAGGGAUUUUGUUUUCUGUGUACACAUAAGCCAUAGUUACAGUACAGGUGGCAGUGUUUAGAGCACUCGGAUUUCAGUUCUGUUCAAUGUGAAAGAGGGAUCGACUGAUGUUCAUUGCUGUUCCGUAACUAGUGUAAAAAAUAUAUAUGUUAAUCUUUAUUUUUAUAAUAUGCAAAUACAUUUAAAUUUAUACAGUUUGAAGCUUCUAGCAUUAGUUAACACUGGGUGCAAUAUUUUGCAUGAGAACUGUGCCAAGAUGGGGUUGAUUUCUUAUUUUAGCCUAAGACAUUUUUUUUGUUCUUUCCUUUUUUUUAACCCACUUUCUCAGACUAAAAGGAAAGCAAUGGGGCACCACCUACCUGUUAGUCCAUUCUUUGUGGGUUCAUAGAGCUUUGCCACGGUCAGCAAGAUCCAGCAACCCAUUUCAUUCAGAAAGUGUCCCUUCCCAUGUCUUGAUUAAAGGCCCUUGCCGGUGAGUGGUCAGGCUGGGUGACUGCAUGAUCAGUAUUCUCUCCCCACUAACCGUCAUUGCCAGGGCAGAGAGAGGACACUGUUAAGGGCCAAAGGGGAACAAGAAACUGUGGAAAACCUGAGUCUUACGACAAUCAGGGGUCAAUUCUGAGUCAUGCAGGUGCUUUGCUCUUAAUUACCUUUCUUUUUCUAGAAUGGGACACAAAAUGUAGCAGAGUGUUUUGGGAGCCUUCCACAUCUGGCGGAGGACCUCCAGGCAGUGGGCUUCCUUGGGCAGCACGGUCCCACACAGACUGUUUAUUCACACAGUGCCACCUGUUGGAUGAUCUGCUGCCAGGAUUCGUAAAACCCUGGUUUUGAAAUCUCUGAGAGCUAAAACUUAAAAACAAACCCAAGAAAUUGUUCUCCAGUGUCCUAAUUGAGGCCAAACAGCAUAUGCUGUGGUAGUAACACAUUCUCUGAAGAUGUAAAGGACUCUGUUUACAUCUGCCUCUCUGUGUUGAUAGAAAAUGUGUGAAACUCACUGUUUCUCACCAGUGUCAGACAAGAAAAAUGAGUCAUCUGCCACUCUUAUUUAUAUGUUUAUAAAGUGUUGACUUUAUGAAUGUUGGUCUCUUUAUGAAUACCAUGGUCUCCACAUAGCUUUACAGAAGAGAGGAGCAAGCGGCCUGCAAAUCAGCUGUGUAGACUAGAAUCUGGCCAGCUAACGUCACUGCCUCUUGAGCCCCUGCUUCACAAAUACGAUUUAUUAGUAUGGUCAUGAAACCAAGUGAAAACCCACCAUUUUGGUUCUUUUAAUACUUGAAUAUGACACAUCAAGUUUGAGAUUUUAUGCUCCCUUAAGACCACAUCACAAGAUGGACCCUUUUGUCACAGUUCUCGUGUGUGUGUGCAAGUGUAAACUGAAUGGUAGCAUUUAAUUACUUUGUGGACCAUUGGAUUAUUCGGCAAUAAGUUUUUGUUUUUUUAAUUGGCACCAGACAAUUCCUAAGCUGUCAGCUCAACCAACUUUGACCUGUCUUGACAAAGUCUUGAAUGAUGUCAGGCUCCCUCCACAGAGGACCAUAUGAAAUGAAAAUGAUGCUCCUUGGGGCGACUCACCCUGCAAGUGUUUGCUAUUUUCAUGAACAUGUUCUGAAUAUCUGCUGUUUUUUUUUUUUUGACCAGUGAUGUUUUGUGCUGUCAUCUGAACCCUAGAGAAGCAGUAUAUAUGGAGACAUUGGUGACGCGUGUGUUUUCACCAAAGGGUCAUCAUGGUAGAGGGUCAUAUGACCAAGAGAAGCUCCAGCAAAGCGUGAGAAUUGCUUUGGGGUAGGGGGAGGGUUGGAGAUCCAGAGAACACUCUGCUCCACAGGAAUUCUCCAUCUAGACAGGAAGUUCUGUUUCCUCUGCCAACACCUAGGCAGCCUCAGCACUCAGCCGCUGCCGGGCCGUUCACUAAGCACAAGAGCUUGUUCUACCCAAGGGGUCCCUCGCCUCGCAAACAAAUGCCCUCCAAGUUUGUGAUGGCUUCUAUUCCUGCAACUUGUGGUAUCAGAACCACUUCCCGGAAUUGUAAAAGUGCUGCCAGGAUAAAUGUUUUCCCCUUUCUAAGAAAAUAAAAGUGACAGUGCUCAUAUUUGACCAUUUUGCACUGGACUCUCUUUAAUGCAUACAGAGGAAAAGCUUGACGUGAUUCCUGAUGGAGUGUGUGGUUUUCAUGCCACAGUCUGUGAAUUGUAAUUGUGGUUUCCCAAUUCUUUGUCCUAUCAGAGCAGAAUUUUUUAAAAAUUCAAUAAAAAUGCAAUGAAAUGAUUAA